GACGAACGCUGGCGGCGUGCCUAAUACAUGCAAGUAGAACGCUGAAGCUUGGUGCUUGCACCGAGCGGAUGAGUUGCGAACGGGUGAGUAACGCGUAGGUAACCUGCCUGGUAGCGGGGGAUAACUAUUGGAAACGAUAGCUAAUACCGCAUAAGAGUAGAUGUUGCAUGACAUUUGCUUAAAAGGUGCAAUUGCAUCACUACCAGAUGGACCUGCGUUGUAUUAGCUAGUUGGUGAGGUAACGGCUCACCAAGGCAACGAUACAUAGCCGACCUGAGAGGGUGAUCGGCCACACUGGGACUGAGACACGGCCCAGACUCCUACGGGAGGCAGCAGUAGGGAAUCUUCGGCAAUGGACGGAAGUCUGACCGAGCAACGCCGCGUGAGUGAAGAAGGGUGUCGGAUCGUAAAGCUCUGUUGUAAGAGAAGAACGAGUGUGAGAGUGGAAAGUUCACACUGUGACGGUAUCUUACCAGAAAGGGACGGCUAACUACGUG
RNAcentral lists this ribosomal RNA (497 nucleotides) under uncultured bacterium. RNAcentral's name for it is "partial 16S ribosomal RNA". It matches the Rfam family "Bacterial small subunit ribosomal RNA", at positions 28 to 507 of the family's 1533-position model. The record is from RNAcentral.